CUUCAACGACCCCAACCACAACGGCCGAGCGGCAUCCCGAUCUCGGCCGUACGUGGCCAUCAGCGCCUGCGCCUC
Molecule: antisense RNA, 75 nt
Filed under: Nocardia amikacinitolerans
Lineage: Bacteria; Bacillati; Actinomycetota; Actinomycetes; Mycobacteriales; Nocardiaceae
Description: Nocardia sp. W9988 ASpks TB sRNA
Rfam family: ASpks TB sRNA
Source: Rfam by way of RNAcentral